This 537-nucleotide small RNA is filed under the name Penicillium crustosum. RNAcentral's name for it is "eukaryotic LSU rRNA". The stretch from base 160 to 312 matches the Rfam family "5.8S ribosomal RNA". The record is from RNAcentral. Lineage: Eukaryota; Fungi; Ascomycota; Eurotiomycetes; Eurotiales; Aspergillaceae.
CGGGUCAACCUCCCACCCGUGUUUAUUUUACCUUGUUGCUUCGGCGGGCCCGCCUUAACUGGCCGCCGGGGGGCUUACGCCCCCGGGCCCGCGCCCGCCGAAGACACCCUCGAACUCUGUCUGAAGAUUGAAGUUUGAGUGAAAAUAUAAAUUAUUUAAAACUUUCAACAACGGAUCUCUUGGUUCCGGCAUCGAUGAAGAACGCAGCGAAAUGCGAUACGUAAUGUGAAUUGCAAAUUCAGUGAAUCAUCGAGUCUUUGAACGCACAUUGCGCCCCCUGGUAUUCCGGGGGGCAUGCCUGUCCGAGCGUCAUUGCUGCCCUCAAGCCCGGCUUGUGCGUUGGGCCCCGUCCCCCGAUCUCCGGGGGACGGGCCCGAAAGGCAGCGGCGGCACCGCGUCCGGUUCUCGAGCGUAUGGGGCUUUGUCACCCGCUCUGUAGGCCCGGCCGGCGCUUGCCGAUCAACCCAAAUUUUUAUCCAGGUUGACCUCGGAUCAGGUAGGGAUACCCGCUGAACUUAAGCAUAUCAAUAAGCGGAG